AGCCCAGCGUGGGAUGACCGUGCCCCGAAAACAUGCCAGUGAAUGGAAAGAAGCCAAGGUCCCCUCCCUCCCUGCUUAUACCCUCAACUUUGCCAAUGAGGACCCUAAAUACCAGCUGCACUACAGGGGAUGUAACUACAUACACCGUCACCAAAGUUGCAGCCUGGCCAAGAAAUGCCAGGGGACGUCGCGGCGAUUGCAGACUCCGCGGUGACUGUGUAGAUACGUCCAGAAUUCGCCCUUGUAGCGCGGGGAGAGGCGAGAGUGAAGGCCUAGAAAAGCUGGAGUGCAAUGGCGCCAUCUCAGCUCACUGCAACCUCUGCCUCCCGGGUUCAAGCGAUUCUCCUGCCUCAGCCUCCGGAGUAGCUGGGAUUACAGAAAGAAGAAUAAAUGGGACAUUACACAAGUUCCUUUAAAGAUUCUUCACGUUGAUAUAAGGAGCCUGCUUCCUCAUUGCCAUUUGGGUGCAGAGUUCUUCCUGUCAGCCCACUCAUCAUGCUCAUCAUACCUUGCUGCCAGGCCUCUCUAUGCUGAUGACUCGAGGAAAACACGCUCCUCUGGUUGCAAAGAAGGCAUUGUUUCUAAAGGCACCUGUCUCAGAGCUCUAGAUGGAUUAUGACCCACGGCGGUCAUUGGACUGUAAACCUGACACAGGUUUAACCUUCUGAUGGAGCUUGGUUUUUGUCCUAGAAAAACUAUAAAGAGAAAAACAGCGGCACAUAAAGAACAGUAUAUGGUGUAAAGAGAAGCGGGAGUCCUGGGUCGAUGUUAGAAGACAUGAAUGCAAAUCCCUGGCUGGCUAUUAACUUAGUUU
Homo sapiens (human) is the source of this 814-nucleotide long non-coding RNA. The record is from Ensembl. Lineage: Eukaryota; Metazoa; Chordata; Mammalia; Primates; Hominidae.